CCUACGGGUGGCAGCAGUGGGGAAUAUUGGGCAAUGGGCGCAAGCCUGACCCAGCAACGCCGCGUGAAGGAAGAAGGAUUUCGGGUUGUAAACUUCUUUUGGCAGGGAAGAGAAGAAGGCGACAUGUGACGAAUAAGCCACGGCUAACUACGGGCCAGCAGCCGCGGUAAUACGUAGGUGGCAAGCGUUGUCCGGAUUUACUGGGUGUAAAGGGCGUGUAGCCGGGUUGACAAGUCAGAUGUGAAAUCCUGCGGCUUAACCGCAGAACUGCAAUUGACACUGUUGGUCUUGAGUACUGGAGAGGCAGACGGAAUUCCUAGUGUAGCGGUGAAAUGCGUAGAUAUUAGGAGGAACACCAGUGGCGAAGGCGGUCUGCUGGACUGCAACUGACGGUGAGGCGCGAAAGCGUGGGGAGCAAACAGGAUUAGAUACCCGUGUAGUC
This 442-nucleotide ribosomal RNA is filed under the name uncultured bacterium. Its description in RNAcentral is "partial 16S ribosomal RNA". It matches the Rfam family "Bacterial small subunit ribosomal RNA", at positions 338 to 795 of the family's 1533-position model. The record is from RNAcentral.